Portunus trituberculatus (swimming crab) is the source of this 1195-nucleotide long non-coding RNA. RefSeq lists it as uncharacterized. NCBI's taxonomy places the organism in Eukaryota, Metazoa, Arthropoda, Malacostraca, Decapoda, Portunidae. The record is from RefSeq and is a predicted model, not a curated record. The transcript is spliced from 3 exons.
AUUUCGAGCCCGUGACGUUCAUGUAUCGCCGCUACGUGGCAGCUUCGUUCCUAUUCGAGAUGGAGGGAGCCUGAACAUCGGUCUGCGAUUACCCAGCUAGCCUCCUUACCAGCCACAUGGCCGUCCUUUCACCAAGUAUCUAAAGAAAUCUUUAUUCGUAAGUGUAAAUCUGUAUACAACAAUGCAGAAGUUUGGGUCAUGCCGGCCAUCCCUUAAACAUGGACAAGUCAAGUCAGGAGAUAGAGCACGUCCCGCCACAAGUCUUGCACCGGCGUCCCUCCAUCUGCGGACUACGAACUUGGAAGAGCCACAUCCGUUUCACCGGAGCCAACUCAUCACACAGCGGCGGUCGAGUCAGACUUGCACCCGCCGAAGCGUCUCGGAGUCGGAACCCCCGGCAUCCUCCUCCUCCUCCUCCUCCUAAUCUGUGUCCAUAUGAUGUCGGCUAAUCUGUGUCCAUAUGAUAUCAGUCUUUCUCUUCAGAAGAGUACGCAGACUGCGGAGGCGUGCGGUCCGGCACAGAUAGGAGCUGGGCCGUAUGAACUGGUUCAUUGGGGGCGUAGGUUAUCAGGAAUUGUUCGGUCUUUGUGUUAAAGGUCCUGCCACUAAAGGGAGAAUCAAACCAGCGUGUCCUAACAACCCCCCAACCUGCGGCAGGAAACUGGCUCUUCUUGCACUGAAAGACUAAGCGUCUCGCUGCACCCUCCGCGGAGGAAAUGGACUCCACCCGCGCCAGCUCUACCCUUAAAACACGUGGGUCCAUCCAGGGAGGGAGGACACACUGCCUCGUUGCAUGCACCUUCCACGGAGGAUUUGGACCCUGCCUCGCACAAGCUCUGCCCUGACAACACGUGUACCAUCCAGGGAGGGAGGACACGCUGCCUUGCAGCACCUUCCACAGAGGAAUUGGACCCUGCCCUGACAACAGCAUUGCCAUCCAGGGAGGGACAGACUGCCUUGCUUCAUCUAACCUAACACAACCAAUACAUGUUGCCGAUCAUUUGUAAUGUUAUUCCUUCUAUCUAAUGUGGAUGUACCCACAUAAGUGUUGGUUAUUUCUUCGUUGUUCUGUUGUUCUAUUGUUAGUACUUAAUAAUAAAUAGAUCAUUGAUAUUGAUGCUAGAUAGAUCAUUGAUAUUGAUGCUAUAGAUGUUCUGGAAUGUACCCACAUAACUAUUGUUAGUACUUAAUAAUA